AACGCAUCUUGCGCCCUUUGGUAUUCCGAAGGGCAUGCCUGUUUGAGUGUCGCAAAACUCUCAACCCUGUCUCGCUACGGGGCUUGGACCGUGGCCGUUCCGGCUGGCGCAAGUCAGCCCGGCCGAAAUACAUGCGGAGCGUUUAAGCGCUGAUCCGUGACGACUAUGCGUUGUAACCACCUCGCUUGGUCUCGCUGGCAAAGGCGUGCUCCCGAACACAUUAUUACUUCGACCUCAGAUCAGGCAGGAUUACCCGCCGAACUUAA
Molecule: unclassified non-coding RNA, 266 nt
Filed under: uncultured fungus
Lineage: Eukaryota; Fungi
Description: partial contains 5.8S ribosomal RNA, internal transcribed spacer 2, and large subunit ribosomal RNA
Rfam family: 5.8S ribosomal RNA (bases 1-52)
Source: RNAcentral